UACGUAGGGUGCGAGCGUUGUCCGGAAUUACUGGGCGUAAAGAGCUCGUGGGUGGUUUGUCGCGUUGUCCGUGAAAACUCACAGCUCAACUGUGGGCGUGCGGGCGAUACGGGCAGACUGGAGUACUGCAGGGGAGACUGGAAUUCCUGGUGUAGCGGUGGAAUGCGCAGAUAUCAGGAGGAACACCGAUGGCGAAGGCAGGUCUCUGGGCCAUAACUGACGCUGAGAAGCGAAAGCAUGGGGAGCGAACAGG
This 253-nucleotide ribosomal RNA is filed under the name uncultured bacterium. RNAcentral describes it as "partial 16S ribosomal RNA". It matches the Rfam family "Bacterial small subunit ribosomal RNA", at positions 524 to 776 of the family's 1533-position model. The record is from RNAcentral.